This 237-nucleotide ribosomal RNA is filed under the name uncultured bacterium. RNAcentral describes it as "partial 16S ribosomal RNA". It matches the Rfam family "Bacterial small subunit ribosomal RNA", at positions 15 to 238 of the family's 1533-position model. The record is from RNAcentral.
GAUCCUGGCUCAGGACGAACGCUGGCGGCGUGCCUAAUACAUGCAAGUAGAACGCUGAAGGAGGAGCUUGCUUCUCUGGAUGAGUUGCGAACGGGUGAGUAACGCGUAGGUAACCUGCCUGGUAGCGGGGGAUAACUAUUGGAAACGAUAGCUAAUACCGCAUAAGAGUAGAUGUUGCAUGACAUUUACUUAAAGUUAAGGCAAUUAGUCAUCACUACCACGAUGGACCUCGCGUUG